Molecule: long non-coding RNA, 1295 nt
Filed under: Vitis vinifera (wine grape)
Lineage: Eukaryota; Viridiplantae; Streptophyta; Magnoliopsida; Vitales; Vitaceae
Description: long non-coding RNA (VVIN_LNC006338)
Source: RNAcentral
UAAAUUUGAACACCCCGCCAAGAUGAGAGUUUCAAGAGAGCUCAAAUUGCAAAUGCUCUCCGAAAGACUUCUUAGGCUUUUGCAAUAAGACAAAUCUAGGUGUUGAAGAGCCUUUAGACGUCCAAUUGAGGAUGGAAGCUCUUCUAUACCUGUAAAACUCAAAUAAAGCCUUUUUAGAUUUUCCAUAUCAUCUUUGAUUUCUGGAAAGCCCUUUAAAUUUGAACACCCCGCCAAGAUGAGAGUUUCAAGAGAGCUCAAAUUGCAAAUGCUCUCCGAAAGACUUCUUAGGCUUUCGCAAUUAGACAAAUCUAGGUGUUGAAGAGCCUUUAGAUGUCCAAUUGAGGAUGGAAGCUCUUCUAUACCUGUAAAACUCAAAUCAAGCCUUUUUAGAUUUUCCAUAUCAUCUUUGAUUUCUGGAAAGCCCUUUAAAUUUGAACACCCCACCAAGAUGAGAGUUUCAAGAGAGCUCAAAUUGCAAAUGCUCUCCGAAAGACUUCUUAGGCUUUCGCAAUUAGACAAAUCUAGGUGUUGAAGAGCCUUUAGACGUCCAAUUGAGGAUGGAAGCUCUUCUAUACCUGUAAAACUCAAAUCAAGCCUUUUUAGAUUUUCCAUAUCAUCUUUGAUUUCUGGAAAGCCCUUUAAAUUUGAACACCCCGCCAAGAUGAGAGUUUCAAGAGAGCUCAAAUUGCAAAUGCUCUCCGAAAGACUUCUUAGGCUUUCGCAAUAAGACAAAUCUAGGUGUUGAAGAGCCUUUAGACGUCCAAUUGAGGAUGGAAGCUCUUCUAUACCUGUAAAACUCAAAUCAAGCCUUUUUAGAUUUUCCAUAUCAUCUUUGAUUUCUGGAAAGCCCUUUAAAUUUGAACACUCCGCCAAGAUGAGAGUUUCAAGAGAGCUCAAAUUGCAAAUGCUCUCCGAAAGACUUCUUAGGCUUUUGCAAUAAGACAAAUCUAGGUGUUGAAGAGCCUUUAGACGUCCAAUUGAGGAUGGAAGCUCUUCUAUACCUGUAAAACUCAAAUCAAGCCUUUUUAGAUUUUCCAUAUCAUCUUUGAUUUCUGGUAAGCCCUUUAAAUUUGAACACCCCACCAAGAUGAGAGUUUCAAGAUAGCUCAAAUUGCAAAUGCUCUCUGAAAGACUUCUUAGGCUUUCAUAAGAAAACAAAUCUAGGUGUUGAAGAGCCUUUAGAUGUCCAAUUGAUGAUGGUACUUCUAUAAUAGUCGUUUCACUUAAAUUAAGCUCUCUUAGUUUGCUCAUAUUUCCCUUGAUUUCCGGAAAACUCUUUAGCUUUGAACAGUCCU